This 253-nucleotide ribosomal RNA is filed under the name uncultured bacterium. RNAcentral's name for it is "partial 16S ribosomal RNA". It matches the Rfam family "Bacterial small subunit ribosomal RNA", at positions 524 to 776 of the family's 1533-position model. The record is from RNAcentral.
UACAGAGGUCUCAAGCGUUGUUCGGAUUCAUUGGGCGUAAAGGGUGCGUAGGCGGCGCGGUAAGUCGGGUGUGAAAUCUCGGAGCUUAACUCCGAAACUGCAUUCGAUACUGCCGUGCUUGAGGACUGGAGAGGAGACUGGAAUUUACAGUGUAGCGGUGAAAUGCGUAGAUAUCGGGAGGAACGCCGGUGGCGAAAGCGACUGUCUGGGGUGCCUGUGACGCUGAGGCGCGAAAGCCAGGGGAUCAAACGGG